Molecule: ribosomal RNA, 253 nt
Filed under: uncultured bacterium
Lineage: Bacteria
Description: partial 16S ribosomal RNA
Rfam family: Bacterial small subunit ribosomal RNA
Source: RNAcentral
UACGUAGGGGGCUAGCGUUGUCCGGAUUUAUUGGGCGUAAAGAGCGUGUAGGCGGUUCGGUAAGUCUGUCGUGAAAUCCUGAGGCUCAACCUCGGACGUGCGAUGGAUACUGGCGGGCUAGAGGAUGGUAGAGGCGAGUGGAAUUCCCGGUGUAGCGGUGAAAUGCGCAGAUAUCGGGAGGAACACCAGUAGCGAAGGCGGCUCGCUGGGCCAUUCCUGACGCUGAGACGCGAAAGCUAGGGGAGCGAACAGG